RNAcentral lists this ribosomal RNA (459 nucleotides) under uncultured bacterium. RNAcentral describes it as "partial 16S ribosomal RNA". It matches the Rfam family "Bacterial small subunit ribosomal RNA", at positions 338 to 795 of the family's 1533-position model. The record is from RNAcentral.
CCUACGGGCGGCAGCAGUGAGGAAUAUUGGUCAAUGGCCGAGAGGCUGAACCAGCCAAGUCGCGUGAGGGAAGACGGCCCUACGGGUUGUAAACCUCUUUUGUCGGGGAGCAAACCGAACCACGUGUGGUUCAUUGAGAGUACCCGAAGAAAAAGCAUCGGCUAACUCCGUGCCAGCAGCCGCGGUAAUACGGAGGAUGCGAGCGUUAUCCGGUUUUAUUGGGUUUAAAGGGUGCGCAGGCGGGGGGGAAAGUCAGCGGUCAAAUUGCGGGGCUCAACCCCGUAAUGCCGUUGAAACUGCAUCCCUUGAGUGCGCGGGAGGUAUGCGGAAUGCGUGGUGUAGCGGUGAAAUGCAUAGAUAUCACGCAGAACUCCGAUUGCGAAGGCAGCAUACCGGCGCGCAACUGACGCUCAUGCACGAAAGCGUGGGGAUCGAACAGGAUUAGAUACCCCAGUAGUC